GGGGCUGUAGCUCAGUGGUAGAGUGCUUGCUUGGCAUGUGUGAGUCACUGGGUUCAAUCCUCAGCACCA
Molecule: transfer RNA, 69 nt
Filed under: Marmota monax (woodchuck)
Lineage: Eukaryota; Metazoa; Chordata; Mammalia; Rodentia; Sciuridae
Rfam family: tRNA
About the family: Transfer RNA (tRNA) molecules are approximately 80 nucleotides in length. Their secondary structure includes four short double-helical elements and three loops (D, anti-codon, and T loops).
Source: Rfam by way of RNAcentral